UACGUAGGGGGCGAGCGUUGUCCGGAUUUAUUGGGCGUAAAGAGCGUGUAGGCGGCCAGGUAGGUCCGUUGUGAAAACUCGAGGCUCAACCUCGAGACGCCGAUGGAAACCAUCUGGCUAGAGUCCGGAAGAGGAGAGUGGAAUUCCCGGUGUAGCGGUGAAAUGCGCAGAUAUCAGGAGGAACACCGGUGGCGAAGGCGGGUCUCUGGGCCGAUACUGACGCUGAGGAGCGAAAGCGUGGGGAGCGAACAGG
Molecule: ribosomal RNA, 253 nt
Filed under: uncultured bacterium
Lineage: Bacteria
Description: partial 16S ribosomal RNA
Rfam family: Bacterial small subunit ribosomal RNA
Source: RNAcentral